RNAcentral lists this ribosomal RNA (223 nucleotides) under uncultured bacterium. RNAcentral's name for it is "partial 16S ribosomal RNA". It matches the Rfam family "Bacterial small subunit ribosomal RNA", at positions 15 to 230 of the family's 1533-position model. The record is from RNAcentral.
GAUCAUGCUCAGGAUGAACGCUAGCUACAGGCUUAACACAUGCAAGUCGAGGGGCAGCGGGAUUGAAGCUUGCUUCAAUUGCCGGCGACCGGCGCACGGGUGAGUAACGCGUAUCCAACCUUCCGUACACUCAGGGAUAGCCUUUCGAAAGAAAGAUUAAUACCUGAUGGUAUGAUGAGAUUGCAUGAUAGCAUCAUUAAAGAUUUAUCGGUAUACGAUGGGG